CUCGAACUCGUAAACGUAGUAUGAUGAAAACCCCAACUUUCUAAUCCUUGAAUUUCAACCUCAACCUCACAAUCCCGGCUAAUCCCGGCUAAUCCCGGUGGGUAUUCCUUGUGAACUCGUUUGCCCAGUUCGGAUGAUGGCACUGGAAGGGAUAAAGAGUCUUGGCCCCAUCUUUCAUAGCCCACGAGAAGUACCACAAGCAAGCUGAUAGAGGGAGACUGAGUUCGGCAUUUUGUCGAGCGGUUUGAGGCGCCCGUUCCCG
This 262-nucleotide long non-coding RNA is filed under the name Brachypodium distachyon (stiff brome). RNAcentral describes it as "long non-coding RNA (BDIS_LNC003985)". The record is from RNAcentral. Lineage: Eukaryota; Viridiplantae; Streptophyta; Magnoliopsida; Poales; Poaceae.